Molecule: ribosomal RNA, 392 nt
Filed under: uncultured bacterium
Lineage: Bacteria
Description: bacterial SSU rRNA
Rfam family: Bacterial small subunit ribosomal RNA
Source: RNAcentral
GGAUUAGAAACCCGGGUAGUCCACGCCGUAAACGUUGGGCACUAGGUGUGGGGCCUUAUCAACGGGUUCCGUGCCGUAGCUAACGCAUUAAGUGCCCCGCCUGGGGAGUACGGCCGCAAGGCUAAAACUCAAAGGAAUUGACGGGGGCCCGCACAAGCGGCGGAGCAUGUUGCUUAAUUCGAUGCAACGCGAAGAACCUUACCUGGGUUGAACUACGCGGGAAAAGCCACAGAGAUGUGGUGUCCCGAAAGGGCCCGCGAUAGGUGGUGCAUGGCUGUCGUCAGCUCGUGUCGCGAGAUGUUGGGUUAAGUCCCGCAACGAGCGCAACCCUUAUCCCAUGUUGCCAGCGGGUUAUGCCGGGGACUCGUGGGAGACUGCCGGGGUCAACUCGG